AGCGAACGCUGGCGGCAGGCUUAACACAUGCAAGUCGAGCGCCCGUAGCAAUACGGGAGCGGCAGACGGGAGAGUAACACGUGGGAACGUGCCUUUUGGUUCGGAACAACCCAGGGAAACUUGGGCUAAUACCGGAUAAGCCCUUACGGGGAAAGAUUUAUCGCCAAAAGAUCGGCCCGCGUCUGAUUAGCUAGUUGGUGAGGUAACGGCUCACCAAGGCUACGAUCAGUAGCUGGUCUGAGAGGAUGAUCAGCCUCACUGGGACUAGAGACACGGCCCAGACUCCUACGGGAGGCAGCAGUGGGGAAUAUUGGACAAUGGGCGCAAGCCUGAUCCAGCCAUGCCGCGUGGGUGAUGAAGGCCUUAGGGUUGUAAAGCCCUUUCGGCGGGGAAGAUAAUGACGGUACCCGCAGAAGAAGCCCCGG
This 425-nucleotide ribosomal RNA is filed under the name uncultured bacterium. RNAcentral describes it as "bacterial SSU rRNA". It matches the Rfam family "Bacterial small subunit ribosomal RNA", at positions 29 to 496 of the family's 1533-position model. The record is from RNAcentral.